Molecule: non-coding RNA, 377 nt
Organism: Odocoileus virginianus texanus
Lineage: Eukaryota; Metazoa; Chordata; Mammalia; Artiodactyla; Cervidae
Source: RefSeq, a predicted model, not a curated record
GGAACUGAAGUAACCGUGCUUCUGGCGGUUAGGAUUUAACUCAUAAGUCAGUUUGAACAUCAAAGCUGUUUAGUCAGCAUCCCAUAGAACUUUUGGGGGGGAGAGAGAGACAGAAAGAGACAGAGAGAAGGAGAGACAGAGACCGAGAGACAAAAGAAUCAGCAUGGAAGGAUUGAUUACUCAGGUCCACUGAUAAGUGAAUCAGAACCACAGAACUGAGGACUGGAAGGAGAUCUUCAGGGAGAUCCUACCUGCAAGGGCCAUGAGGCUCCAAGUCCAGGCAGAGACUACAGAAACAUUUCAACUCACUUUUUGACUGGCCUUUGCUGGGAGCUCUGCUAACGGCUCUUCUCCAAGAGAGGGAAGUUUCUGUUCAG